Molecule: ribosomal RNA, 383 nt
Filed under: uncultured eukaryote
Lineage: Eukaryota
Description: partial 18S ribosomal RNA
Rfam family: Eukaryotic small subunit ribosomal RNA
Source: RNAcentral
CAAUAGCGUAUAUUAAAGUUGCUGCUGUCAAAAAGCUCGCAGUUGGAUUUCUGCCGAGGACGUCCGGUCCGCCCUCUGGGUGUGUACAUGGCGCGGCCUGGGCAUCUUCUUGGGGUACGACGUAUCUGCACUUGACUGCGUGGUGUGGAAUCCAGAACUUUUACAUUGAGGAAAUUAAAGUGUUUCCAGCAGGCACGCGCAUUGAAUACAUUAGCAUGGAAUCAUAAGAUAGGACCUCGGUUCUAUUUUGUUGGUUUCUAGAGAUGAGGUAAUGAUUGAUAUGGAUAAAUGGGAGCAUUCGUAUUUAACUAUCAGAAAUGAAAUUCUCGCAUUUGUUAAAGACGGACUACUGCGAAAGCAUUUGCCAAAGAUGUUGUUAUGAA